Molecule: long non-coding RNA, 593 nt
Filed under: Brachypodium distachyon (stiff brome)
Lineage: Eukaryota; Viridiplantae; Streptophyta; Magnoliopsida; Poales; Poaceae
Description: long non-coding RNA (BDIS_LNC004901)
Source: RNAcentral
CAACUUCAAUGUAUUAUCCUACUUUUCCAUCAAGUCCUUUCGGGACCUAAGGGCAGCCUCAAUGUUCCUACAACCCUUGGUAUAGCCUCAAUGUAUAGAGGUUGAUACAUUUAUUAGAUUUUGUAAAUGCAUGUUACUAUCAUAUACAAAAAGGUAAAAAAAAAGACAAUUUGCCAUCUAGUCUAAAUGGAGUAUUAGGAAAGGGUAUUCUAAACUUUUCACUUCAAUAAAAAAUUAAAAUAAAUAUACUCACCUCCGAUGAUGUCUCCCUGAGAAUCCCAAUCCCCGCCGUUGCGCUCGUGCCGCAGUUCUCCUCGUAGACCGCACCGCCCUUGUCCUCCCAGACCGUGCUGCCGCCUGUUAAGUCCUAGAAUUCGUCUAGGUGUAGAUCUAGCCGGGUAUACUACUUUCUGUGAUUCGAAUAUGGCAUACGGGUAUGGGGCUAGAGAGAGAGAAGGAUAGAGGGAUGUGUACCUUCGCCUUGGGACGACGACAAGCUUGACGGCACGGCGUGGAUGGAGCUUCCCGUCGCCUCUGCGCAACCCUAGAUAGGAAGGGAUUGUCGGUGGGGAGUUUGGCUAUGCAGUGAACCU